This 58-nucleotide transfer RNA is filed under the name Paracanthobdella livanowi. RNAcentral describes it as "tRNA-Ala". The record is from RNAcentral. Lineage: Eukaryota; Metazoa; Annelida; Clitellata; Acanthobdellida.
UGCAACUUAGUUUAAAUAGAACAGUUAACUUGCACUUAACAAGUGAUUUUUCAGUAGC